Molecule: long non-coding RNA, 857 nt
Organism: Struthio camelus australis
Lineage: Eukaryota; Metazoa; Chordata; Aves; Struthioniformes; Struthionidae
Source: Ensembl
CUGCUUUUGCCCCAAAGACACCCACUGAGGAAACCACCUGUGCAGUUCUCUACCUCUGUGGAAAUACCAGCAGAUUCAAUGUAGCCUGGUGCUGUUCCCGUUACCAUCACACAACCCCCAGUGAAGCUGUGCACGGGCAGAGAGCGCUCUUGUCUGUCUGUGGGUACUGUGUAGACCUGCCCUGGUGCCUUCCUUUUUCUCUUGAUCUGCAUCAGCUGUGGGCAUGGAGGUGCUACGAAAGGGAACUCCGCAGCAUCAGUCAGCGAGGCAGGACCCGUCUCUGUGUACGGUGAAGUAUCCGACGACAGGGACAGACUGUGCAGCGCUGCGGGAGAAAGGAGACGACCAACCUGUGCUCAGAUAGAGCCCUCUGCGAAUGGAAAAGGGGUUGUUCAUCCUGGAGGAGGCUUUUAUUCGGAGCACGUGAACCUCUGGAGGCCAACACCAGCCCGCUCGAGCGCUCCCUAAACCAGCGAUCCCAACGUAGAGCAGCCAGGUGGCAGAGCAGAGGAAUUAGAGCCUCUCACCGGCUGCUCAACACUUCGCCCUGGGAAGCAGCUUCGGCAUCAGCCAAGGAAGCCUGCAAGGAACAAAGUGGGGGCAUAGUGGGAGGGCUGCACCGCAGAUGCGGUACCUGCAUGCUACAGCCCUGUGCACACCUGCACCACUCCCCAAUCAAGUACCUGGAUAACAAAGGGCAUCGAAACAUGAUGCACGAACAUCUUGCUAACUUGACAAGGAACAUACAUCAUUUGACCUGCUACUUUGUCUUAUUCGGCUCAUCUCCCAUUUGGGAAUUGCUCAGUGUCUCUGACAACACGGAAGCAUUGCGCAGCAGAGACUGUAACGAACCAUGA